Molecule: long non-coding RNA, 1442 nt
Organism: Denticeps clupeoides (denticle herring)
Lineage: Eukaryota; Metazoa; Chordata; Actinopteri; Clupeiformes; Denticipitidae
Source: Ensembl
CGUGACCUUUCAGCACCUUCCACAGAGCCGCACAGUCGGCCUUCCUGUUCCGCAGACAUCGCCUCCCACGCAUCCUGCCAUUGUGUUUAUGUGCGUGUGGCACCGGCGGCCCGUUCCUUCAAACGCUCACACCUCCCACUCGCGGUGGCUCAUCCCAAACGGCCCUUCUCAUGUCUGCGUCCGCAGCAGACCGAAACAUCAAGGCCGGGUGGCAGCGGGGUGUCCGGGUUUUACUGACAACUCAAUCCCAUAAAAGUAGCAUAUACAACAUAAUCCUGGUCUUUGUACAGAUUAAGAGGUCAGAUGUCCUUUCUGCUCCUCAGAUAACUGGCACCGCUGUUCAAAACAAUGCGAGCAGGAUAAACCAGCAAGACAAAAGGCUCGUCUCACAUAUGGAAGACCAGCACAUGCUUCUGUGUAUCACAUGUGACAAUCACUUCACUUUAAACUUUUCCUCUGAUCAGUGUGAAGUCAGCUGACCACUUCAUCACCUACCUAUCACCCACGUGACACCUACGUGUCAAUAGAAAAAACCAAGACAGAGUUCAGUGAAAAAUUUCAUCCUGUUUUCUACAGAUGAUUUGAAAAUUUGAUGGUUCCUGGGGGUGAAUCCCGCCAAAACGAUGCAGUGCAUGUAUGCACAGUACAGGUAUGUGUCUCACAGAGCUCCACCAACACCAGCGGCGUGUAGGACACCCUUCAAACCACUACCCUGUGGAAUGCUGUUCUGCUCAAGACUGACAGGGCUCGAACUGAAAAGAACUUCUCAAGCAUGCUAAUAAACCCUCCACCACAGUCUUCACACCUGCGAGACUUCUUUUUCCUGAAGCUACCAUGAAGCCUCUUCUCCAGUAGGUCCAAUUGAGCGCUAGUGAGCAGAGCUCAUGCACAGAUUGCAGCUCUUGAUCUCAAACACCCAACAGAAAGCACACAGACGUCACAAUAGACAGCAUGAUCGACAAUACAGCUGGUUUCAGGAAGAGGUGAAGAGUUCAUUGAAGGCUUUCAAAUGUGAACUGAGAGAAGAAUGGCACAGUGAAAGAAAACGAAAGAAAAAAAUGAUAGCUUAUGUAUGUAUAUACUAGAAAAUGAUCCAGAAACCUCAAAUGUUAUUGGUUAUUGAUUUGUAAACCUCCAGCUCACUGGACUUGCUACAUGCGAAUUGGAUUUGGUUUGUUGUGUACCUGCACAACAUUUCUGAUGUGAUUCAAUGCCAUAAAAAGUGCCCAUGUGCAUGGGGUAGCGGGCACAGACCAGCUCGUGAUCUGAACCUGAAGGUUCGAGGCACGGGACAGAAUGUGGCUAUGGAAGAAAGCUUCCCGUUUUAGGUUUCUAGCAAUGCCUACGUUUAGUGUAAAAUACACAACCAAGGCUCCCUUUUCGGUUAAAGAUGCCAAGAUUUACAGGAAGGAAUUGUUGUGUUAAAAUACCUAAAUAGUCAG